This 352-nucleotide small RNA is filed under the name Histoplasma capsulatum. RNAcentral describes it as "hypothetical RNA". Lineage: Eukaryota; Fungi; Ascomycota; Eurotiomycetes; Onygenales; Ajellomycetaceae. The record is from RNAcentral. RNAcentral also lists the same sequence under 1 other name.
GGCCUCUGGUAGAAAUGGCAGUCAAUGGCAAAACGCAACCUCCAUCGAUGCCAGGCGACAGUGACUCUUUUUGUUUCCAGCCUCCCUCAAGUGUAGCUUUGUAUCUUACUGUAUUCACUCACUGGCCAUUAAGGAUGGGUAUUUUGGUUGUCUAGGCCUCCUUGGGGUGUCAAAAAGGAGAGGCUGGCGGGGGUAGCGAAGGGAGUGAAUAGGUAUAGCCUCUUUAAUACACAUGCAUUGUGGCGACAAUGAGUAGGGGAGGGGUGCUAUAUAGAUUGGUAAUGACUUUGUGAUAUAUUAUAGCAAUCUCAGUGACAUUUACUUCGCUAUUGUAUAUGAAGUUAAAUAGUGC